This is a long non-coding RNA of Girardinichthys multiradiatus, 633 nucleotides long. RefSeq lists it as uncharacterized. The transcript is spliced from 3 exons. The record is from RefSeq and is a predicted model, not a curated record. Lineage: Eukaryota; Metazoa; Chordata; Actinopteri; Cyprinodontiformes; Goodeidae.
GUGCAGGCUGCAUGCAGGCUGUGUUUUUGUGCUCUGUGUUCUCUCUAUGCAGAGUAUGACUGGCAGGUGCUACUGCACAGGUGUUGCUCAUCUGAGAGAAAUCAGCUGGGGUACUUAUGGAAUGGAAACCCAGAGGGAGGCGUCAGCUUGUUUUCUCACUUGGCAUGAUCACCCUUCGCUGUAGGAAGUUGUGGAACCUUUCUGGUCUCUGUUUUCACUCGUGUCACGUUCAGAGGAGUUUGAACUCCAGCCUCGACACCUCAACCUUGAGCCUCUUUUCUACUUCCAACUCCAAGCCCAGCUUCUCAGGAGUCACCUUAGAACACUCGUCAACCUGCCUGUCCCCCUCCAACGUUAAAACUAUCCAAACAUAGUGGCGAUUCCUGGAAGAGAAGAAACAAAGCGCUUCAUCCUCUGAAAACUGUUCACAGCCUGUCAGCUUCAAGCCACCAUGGAGAAGCACUUAUUUUACCCCGGUCUUGCCAAGAACUCAAACCCUAGAGACCCCGUGUUUGUCCACCAGCUCCAGCCCUGGUUCCAGUCUGACCUCUUAUCCGUGUUUCUAAAUAAACUGUUAAAAUGCUGUCUUUGUCCUCGUGGUUGUGUAUCUCGGAGUCUAAGAAAACCCCAUUA